GGAAGAGAUUAACUUUCACUGUUGAUAUAUUCUAAGUUUUAUAUGGAACAGAACUCUCAGGUAGAAAAGUGAUUUUACUCUUCGAUUUGCAGAGCUUUCGAUAUCCAUCAUAAUUCCUGUCAUAUCCUGUGGAUAUUACUUUGACCAUUGCAGCCAGAAAUCCUGAUGUAAUCAGUUGUCUUCAGGGAGUUCUUUGAAUCAAAACCAUUAGGAGACUCUAAAUGAGCCCCGCUAGCGGCUCUUGCUGGGUUGUGCUCACAGCACGAGGAUCGACCUAUUGUGAAGAGGGGAAGGCAAUGGAGUUAAAUAGAAGGUGGAAACAAAAUCUUAAGACACUGUAUUUGUACAUGAAGAUUAGAGAACAAGGAGGAGAAACAAGAGACCUUCCAGAACAAGAUCUAGGAAGAUGGAGGGAGGAAUUGUCUUAUCCAUCAGCCUCUGGAUAGGCAGAACUUGCUUUUCCAGUUGAGUUCAUCUUCUGUUUCCUGAGACAAUGAUUCAUUCUGGAGAAUGAAUGAACUGCUUGGCAAAGAUAAAACCAAGUAAAGACAAAGGUAGUGGAAACCAGGCUCUGUACCCCUGUGAAAAGGGCUGAAGAUCUGUCGUUAUUAUAUCAGUUUUAGUCAAAG
This 629-nucleotide long non-coding RNA is filed under the name Vulpes vulpes (red fox). RNAcentral describes it as "lncRNA (ENSVVUG00000029358.1)". The record is from RNAcentral. Lineage: Eukaryota; Metazoa; Chordata; Mammalia; Carnivora; Canidae.